RNAcentral lists this ribosomal RNA (253 nucleotides) under uncultured bacterium. RNAcentral's name for it is "partial 16S ribosomal RNA". It matches the Rfam family "Bacterial small subunit ribosomal RNA", at positions 524 to 776 of the family's 1533-position model. The record is from RNAcentral.
UACGGAGGAUGCAAGCGUUAUCCGGAAUUAUUGGGCGUAAAGCGUCCGCAGGUGGUUAUCCAAGUCUGCUGUUAAAGCGCGAGGCUUAACUUCGUACAGGCAGUGGAAACUGGGUGACUGGAGUAUGGUAGGGGUAGCGGGAAUUCCCAGUGUAGCGGUGAAAUGCGUAGAUAUUGGGAAGAACAUCGGUGGCGAAAGCGCUCUGCUGGACUGCAACUGACACUCAGGGACGAAAGCUAGGGGAGCGAAUGGG